GCGAGGGGAGUGAAAAAGAACCUGAAACCGUGUACGUACAAGCAGUGGGAGCACAGGUUUACCUGUGUGACUGCGUACCUUUUGUAUAAUGGGUCAGCGACUUAUAUUCUGUAGCAAGGUUAACCGAAUAGGGGAGCCGGAGGGAAACCGAGUCUUAAUUGGGCGUUAAGUUGCAGGGUAUAGACCCGAAACCCGGUGAUCUAGCCAUGGGCAGGUUGAAGGUUGGGUAACACUAACUGGAGGACCGAACCGACUAAUGUUGAAAAAUUAGCGGAUGACCUGUGGCUGGGGGUGAAAGGCCAAUCAAACCGGGAGAUAGCUGGUUCUCCCCGAAAGCUAUUUAGGUAGCGCCUCGUGAAUUCAUCUCCGGGGGUAGAGCACUGUUUCGGCUAGGGGGCCAUCCCGGCUUACCAACCCGAUGCAAACUGCGAAUACCGGAGAAUGUUAUCACGGGAGACACACGGCGGGUGCUAACGUCCGUCGUGAAGAGGGAAACAACCCAGACCGCCAGCUAAGGUCCCAAAGUCAUGGUUAAGUGGGAAACGAUGUGGGAAGGCCCAGACAGCCAGGAUGUUGGCUUAGAAGCAGCCAUCAUUUAAAGAAAGCGUAAUAGCUCACUGGUCGAGUCGGCCUGCGCGGAAGAUGUAACGGGGCUAAACCAUGCACCGAAGCUGCGGCAGCGACGCUUAUGCGU
Molecule: ribosomal RNA, 694 nt
Filed under: Salmonella enterica subsp. enterica serovar Dublin
Lineage: Bacteria; Pseudomonadati; Pseudomonadota; Gammaproteobacteria; Enterobacterales; Enterobacteriaceae
Description: partial 23S ribosomal RNA
Rfam family: Bacterial large subunit ribosomal RNA
Source: RNAcentral